AUGAAUGUGAGCAGCCAGUGGAAGCAGCUUUACUUCUGUGAUUGCUUUCAUUCCUCUCGCAGAGCAGAAGAGGCAACUUGGUACUUGCAUCUUCCUUGUGUAGGAUCCCUGCUUCUGGCUUUGUCCUGCUUUCAGCAACCCCAGUCCACGCUGCUUUUCUGGCAAGAAAACCCCCAAAUGGCACUAGUGAAAGCUGGAAUCCCUUUUUGUCUGCAGUUCUCUCUAAAUGCAGUAUCAGGGAGUUCUUUACAGAUUCUGCUCUAAGCAGAAAUUCUCUAUGAGGAUCUGAGUGGAAGCUUCACCUCAGCAAUCACUGGCUGCUGAUGGGGCUUCAGGGAGGACAAGGGUUGGUGAUAGGAAGAGUGACCAGAAUAGGAGCAGUGAAAGGAAGCAGCUUUCCUCCUCAUCCAGCAGAAAACAGCCCCUGUGAAACCCAGACUUCCCCUAAUAUUUUGUUGUUGCCUCGUGUCUGCUGCCAAGUUAUGCUGUGAUCUGGAUCUCUGUCCUGCUUCUACCCCACCUCAGUUUCACUUAAAGCAGUCUGAGGCAGAGCCUUCCUUAAAGCUAAAGGCAACAGUGAGGAGAAAUGUCUGGUAGCUGAAGAAAAAUGAGAUUUAAAUGGAGCAGAAAAAGUGAGAAUUCCUUCUGUUUCACUGUCUUGCUGCUAAAAGUCUGGUGCAGAACAUCCUGAUGUUCUGCUGAUUUAUAUGCUGCUCUUGGGAGGUGGGCAGGCUGCUAAGUUGGCUCUGUAGCAAUUGAAUUACUGUAAACCUGAACUUGCUUAAUCUCUCCUUUUUUUCUCCCUCAAAUGGGCUUGAAGUAGAGGGAACCAGAGUAUUGUUUGUAAGAUCUUUUUGCUUUAAUAGAAAACAGAAUGUAAAAAAAGAAAAAAAAAACAACAACAAAAGCAAAACCAAACUCAUUCAAAUACAGUGAUACAGAAAAUGGCUUUAAAAUAUGAAAAUCUUACAAGACCAUAUGUUGUGUUGGGUUCUGGACAUGCAGUUUGUGCUGGGGAGGCUGGACUUGUCCAGCCUGCCAGCCAACCUCCACGUAGCCAAAAAGAGCAUUUUAAGAGUCUGUAGCUAUCCAAAGGACUGUUAUCCAAAGGACUGAUAAAAGCUGUUUAGGGAUAAAUCAAAAGCUGUGUGUGAGCAAUGGAUGGUAAAGCUGGAAAUUCAGAUCCAACUCUGAAUAAUUGCUCUUAGUAAAAAACAGAUUCAGAAAAAUCCAACUUUCCCCCUGUUCUGCAGACGCUCAUUCCCACCGAGUCCCCGGGGAAGGCUGAGAGGAGAACCUGAAAUACCUCAAUGGCUUCACAGAAGGGUUUGCUACAGAGAUCUGGGCCAGCCUUACCCCUUUCACCUCAGUUUGGCACUUAUUUUAUAAAAUAAGAAGGUGAUUGAAAGGGGAAACUAAAGCCAUGCUUGCAUUUCAGUUCCUGGUGUUGCCUGUGCAAGACACCUCCAGCCAGAUGUUUCGAGGUUUGUGGGGUUGUUUUUUUUUUUUUUUACAGCUGAUAUCAAAAGUUGUUGUUUUAUUUUAUUUUUAUUUUUUUUUUUUGUGACUUGUUUUCGUUAUCAGUGCUUUUUAAAAAGCAGGUGUGUAUCCCAAGGGGGGAAGCUCCAUGUGGGGCAGUGGAUGUGAAGUUCAUGUUGUUUCUCUGGCCAUGUUUGCAGCGCUGCUCCUGUGAGAUGUCCAAGGCAGCCGUGGCUCCCACCAGUGUGUGGGAUCCUGCAUCCCAGGAGCAGGACCUGUGUUUCCACAUCAAAUGGGAUACAGUGGUUUUGUUUGUUUGUUUUUUUUAAUAUAGAGCCAUACAUUUUUUAAGUAAUUUGAGAUCUGAAUGUGAUUUCUAAUGUAUCGAGAACGUUAAUAUUUUAAAGCUAUAACAAAGGUUUAAAUUUCUACUUUUUUUUUUUUUUUUUCCAUUUAUUUUAACUGUUCUGUUACCUUAAUUUGAUGUAUGUGGUUGGGGAAUGUUGCUUCUCCUCUUAGCAUUUGUUUCUAUAACCAGAAAUAAAAUUAUAUAUGAAAGAGAAAACGCCCUGAAA
This 2054-nucleotide long non-coding RNA is filed under the name Cyanistes caeruleus (blue tit). RNAcentral's name for it is "lncRNA (ENSCCEG00000022491.1)". Lineage: Eukaryota; Metazoa; Chordata; Aves; Passeriformes; Paridae. The record is from RNAcentral.